This 331-nucleotide ribosomal RNA is filed under the name uncultured bacterium. RNAcentral's name for it is "bacterial SSU rRNA". It matches the Rfam family "Bacterial small subunit ribosomal RNA", at positions 568 to 898 of the family's 1533-position model. The record is from RNAcentral.
UGCGUAGGCGGUUCUUUGUGUCCGCUGUGAAAGCCCCGGGCUUAACCUGGGAACUGCAGUGGAAACUAGAGGACUCAGAAUCUGGCAGAGGGGGGUGGAAUGCCACGUGUAGCAGUGAAAUGCGUAGAGAUGUGGCGGAACACCGAUGGCGAAGGCAGCCCCCUGGGCUGAGAUUGACGCUCAGGCACGAAAGCGUGGGGAGCAAACAGGAUUAGAUACCCUGGUAGUCCACGCCCUAAACGAUGAUCACUAGGUGUUGGGGAAGCGAUUUCCUAGUACCGCAGCUAACGCGUGAAGUGAUCCGCCUGGGGAGUACGGUCGCAAGAUUAAA